Molecule: non-coding RNA, 650 nt
Organism: Paramuricea clavata
Lineage: Eukaryota; Metazoa; Cnidaria; Anthozoa; Malacalcyonacea; Plexauridae
Source: the annotation of a GenBank genome assembly
CUAUAUAAUAAACAGAACACUACACGGUGGCUUGAAGAUAUGACUUUUAUCUUCUCGUGUUAAAAACAAUAUUUUACUCACUCUCUGCGCUCGUUCGUAAAAUAUUGUUUUCACCACUCGAAGAUAAAAGUCGUAUCUUAUUGUUAUUCUAAUGAGUUUCACACAGUUUUCACAGUUGGACUUUUAUUUUAAAACAUUUUAUUUUAUUAUAAAAAUUAAUGCCCAACAUAAAAUUUUCUUAAAAUGUGCUAACUUGUACAGACAUGUAUGUGAAAAUGUGCUAAUAAAACUUUGGUUUUACUUUGAUUUUCUCGGCUUAGACAACAUUAAUUUUUUUUAAUUACUUCGCCAAUGAACUCAUCAGAUGGGUCGUUUUUUUAAGCCAUUUGAAACACUUGUUUUAUCGAUUUAUACAGGGUGUCCCAAAAAAAAAAGUACCCUCUAUAGAAAUUAUCCUAUUGUUAUAAUUUGAAUGCCUGAGCACUAUGCUGGACACAAGAGUGCGUAAGCACAAUUGAAUUGAAUUUUUAAUUACCAGUCGCAUGAAAAAUCCAGUGCUUAACAACAAUAGGAUAAAUUUCUAUAGAGGGUACUACUUUUUUGGGGACACCCUGUACAGGGUGUCCCAAAAAAACCCAGCGAAACCAUUG